GACGAACGCUGGCGGCGGGCUUAACAUAUGCAAGUCGAACGGGAACUUCCUUCUUAUCUGGGGUGCUGGAGUGGCCAACGGGUAAGGAACCCGUUACUUACCUGCCGUCGACUUUGGGAUAACUUCAGGAAACUGGGGCUAAUUCCGGAUAGGAGCUCCCGGCGCAUGGUGGGGGCUGGAAAGUUUCGGCGGUUGGGGGUGGACUCGCGGCCUAUCAGGUUGUUGGUUGGGUAGUGGCUUACCAAGGCUUUGCCCGGUGGCCGGGCUGAGAGGGUGACCGGCCACGUUGCGACUGGGCUACGACACAGCCUCCUACGGGAGGCAGCGGUGCGGAGGGGUGCACAAGGGGCGGAGGCCUGAUGCAACAACGCCGCGUGGGGGAUGACGGGCUUCGGGUUGUAAUCCACUGUCGCCUGUGACGAGGCGAGAGUGACGGUAAUGGGUGAAGAAGCACCGGCUAACUACGUG
Molecule: ribosomal RNA, 468 nt
Filed under: uncultured bacterium
Lineage: Bacteria
Description: partial 16S ribosomal RNA
Rfam family: Bacterial small subunit ribosomal RNA
Source: RNAcentral